AACGAACGCUGGCGGCAUGCCUAACACAUGCAAGUCGAACGAGACCUUCGGGUCUAGUGGCGCACGGGUGCGUAACGCGUGGGAAUCUGCCCUUGGGUUCGGAAUAACAGUUGGAAACGACUGCUAAUACCGGAUGAUGACGUAAGUCCAAAGAUUUAUCGCCCAAGGAUGAGCCCGCGUAGGAUUAGCUAGUUGGUGAGGUAAAGGCUCACCAAGGCGACGAUCCUUAGCUGGUCUGAGAGGAUGAUCAGCCACACUGGGACUGAGACACGGCCCAGACUCCUACGGGAGGCAGCAGUGGGGAAUAUUGGACAAUGGGGGAAAGCCUGAUCCAGCCAUGCCGCGUGAGUGAUGAAGGCCUUAGGGUUGUAAAGCUCUUUUACCCGGGAUGAUAAUGACGGUACCGGGAGAAUAAGCUCCGGCUAACUCCGUG
RNAcentral lists this ribosomal RNA (433 nucleotides) under uncultured bacterium. Its description in RNAcentral is "partial 16S ribosomal RNA". It matches the Rfam family "Bacterial small subunit ribosomal RNA", at positions 29 to 507 of the family's 1533-position model. The record is from RNAcentral.